AUGGCUCAGGACGAACGCUGGCGGCAUGCCUAACACAUGCAAGUCGAACGGACGAGGGUAGCAAUACCCGAGUUAGUGGCGAACGGGUGAGUAACACGUGAGCAACCUGCCCUUUACACUGGGAUAGCAGUUGGAAACGACUGAUAAUACCGGAUAAGACCACAUUCCCGCAUGGGAGAGGGGUCAAAGUGCUUUAGCGGUAAAGGAUGGGCUCGCGUCCAAUUAGCUAGUUGGUGAGGUAACGGCCCACCAAGGCGACGAUUGGUAGCCGACUUGAGAGAGUGAUCGGCCACACUGGAACUGAGACACGGUCCAGACUCCUACGGGAGGCAGCAGUGGGGAAUAUUGGGCAAUGGAGGAAACUCUUACCCAAGCAAUGCCGCGUGAGGGAUGGAGGUCCUAUGGAUUGUAAACCUCUUUGAUUAGGGAACAAAGAAAGUGAUGGUACCUAAAGAACAAGCCCCGGCUAACUAUGUGCCAGCAGCCGC
Molecule: ribosomal RNA, 488 nt
Filed under: uncultured bacterium
Lineage: Bacteria
Description: bacterial SSU rRNA
Rfam family: Bacterial small subunit ribosomal RNA
Source: RNAcentral